AGCGAACGCUGGCGGCAGGCUUAACACAUGCAAGUCGAGCGGGCAUCUUCGGAUGUCAGCGGCAGACGGGUGAGUAACACGUGGGAACGUACCCUUCGGUUCGGAACAACUCUGGGAAACUGGAGCUAAUACCGGAUACGCCCUUAUGGGGAAAGGUUUACUGCCGAAGGAUCGGCCCGCGUCUGAUUAGCUAGUUGGUGGGGUAACGGCCUACCAAGGCGACGAUCAGUAGCUGGUCUGAGAGGAUGAUCAGCCACACUGGGACUGAGACACGGCCCAGACUCCUACGGGAGGCAGCAGUGGGGAAUAUUGGACAAUGGGCGCAAGCCUGAUCCAGCCAUGCCGCGUGAGUGAUGAAGGCCUUAGGGUUGUAAAGCUCUUUUGUCCGGGACGAUAAUGACGGUACCGGAAGAAUAAGCCCCGGCUAGCUUCGUG
This 435-nucleotide ribosomal RNA is filed under the name uncultured bacterium. RNAcentral's name for it is "partial 16S ribosomal RNA". It matches the Rfam family "Bacterial small subunit ribosomal RNA", at positions 29 to 507 of the family's 1533-position model. The record is from RNAcentral.